AGUGAACGCUGGCGGCGUGCUUAACACAUGCAAGUCGAACGAGAAACGGUCUAGCUUGCUAGAUGACAGUCUAAGUGGCGCACGGGUGAGUAAUAUAUAGGUAAUAUGCCUCUUACUAAGGGAUAACAGAUGGAAACGUCUGCUAAUACCUUAUAUGCCUUUAGGACUAAAGUCCGCAAGGGAAAGAUUUAUCGGUAAGAGAUUAGCCUGUACAGUAUCAGUUAGUUGGUGAGGUAAUGGCUCACCAAGACUAUGACACUUAACUGGUUUGAGAGGAUGAUCAGUCACACUGGAACUGAGACACGGUCCAGACUCCUACGGGAGGCAGCAGUGGGGAAUAUUGCACAAUGGACGAAAGUCUGAUGCAGCAACGCCGCGUGGAGGAUGACACAUUUCGGUGCGUAAACUCCUUUUAUAUGAGAAGAUAAUGACGGUAUCAUAUGAAUAAGGGUCGGCUAACUACGUG
RNAcentral lists this ribosomal RNA (466 nucleotides) under uncultured bacterium. Its description in RNAcentral is "bacterial SSU rRNA". It matches the Rfam family "Bacterial small subunit ribosomal RNA", at positions 29 to 507 of the family's 1533-position model. The record is from RNAcentral.